Molecule: unclassified non-coding RNA, 334 nt
Filed under: uncultured fungus
Lineage: Eukaryota; Fungi
Description: partial contains 5.8S rRNA and ITS2
Source: RNAcentral
AACGCACCUUGCGCUCUCCUGGACUUACAUCCGGAGAGCAUGCCUGUCUGAGGGCCGCGAAUUUCUUCGAGCGCCAGCUUUUGCAAAGAAGCUGACGGAUCGGUACUGAGGGCUGCCAUUUGCACUGGCUCCCUCGAAAUACAUCAGCUGGACUGCACAUGCUAGAGGAAGGAUAUACGUCCCUCUCCCUCCGGAUUUUGAUAAUUAUCAAAGGACGGACGUGAUGGAAACUUCUUGUCUCGACCAUGGUAGCUGGCUUUGAGCCGCCUCCCCCCCGGGGGAAGGAUUUUAUUCACACGGCCUCAGAUCAGGUAGGACUACCCGCUGAACUUAA